Phyllostomus hastatus (greater spear-nosed bat) is the source of this 107-nucleotide small nuclear RNA. The record is from RefSeq and is a predicted model, not a curated record. NCBI's taxonomy places the organism in Eukaryota, Metazoa, Chordata, Mammalia, Chiroptera, Phyllostomidae.
GUGCUCACUUUGGCAGCACAUACACUAAAAUUAGAAUGACACAGAGAAGAUUCACAUGGCCCCUGUGCAAGAAUGACACACAAAUUUGUGAAAUGUUCCAUAUUUUU